UACAGAGGUCCCAAGCGUUGUUCGGAUUUAUUGGGCGUAAAGGGUGCGUAGGCGGCGGAGUAAGUUGGGUGUGAAAUCCCGGGGCUCAACCUCGGAAUGGCAUUCAAUACUGCUUCGCUAGAGUACUGGAGAGGAGGCUGGAAUUUACGGUGUAGCAGUGAAAUGCGUAGAUAUCGUAAGGAAGGCCGGUGGCGAAAGCGAGCCUCUGGACAGUUACUGACGCUGAUGCACGAAGGCCAGGGGAGCAAACGGG
This 253-nucleotide ribosomal RNA is filed under the name uncultured bacterium. RNAcentral describes it as "partial 16S ribosomal RNA". It matches the Rfam family "Bacterial small subunit ribosomal RNA", at positions 524 to 776 of the family's 1533-position model. The record is from RNAcentral.